AAAACACUCUCACCUGGACAGGGUUUCCCUUGACAACGGCGUGUCUCUAAGUCUGAUCCUGCACAGUGUCGGCCUCCAUUGGCAGGUAGAGGAUUGUUGCACUGCCUCAGCCUAUUCUGAGCACCAGCACCACAGGACACACUGCAAGGAGCCCACUAUCAGAAGUCAUGCUGUUACAUGAAUGAGAUAUUUCUUUAAAUACUUUUUUUCCUACACUACAGUAAAAAUGGUUACAGUAAAACAUGUUGUCACAUUACUGAAGAAAAUUCCAGACACUCACGAGACCCAUGAGAAGUGGUUGAAACUGAGAAAGUUCUGUUUUUUUGUUUCUUUCUUUCUUUCUGGUCAAACUGCAGUAAAACUGUUAAAAUCAAGCACAUAUACUCCACCGAGGAAGCCCAUUAGAUGAGGUAGAAAAAGGCAGUAAGUGGAUCUUGAGUUACUGUUUUUCCUCCAUCGGCUGAAGAAGCCUGGAAAAGGGGUUUUGCUCUGAAAAGAGGAAGUGUGGGCUCCCUGGUGACCAGAGGAACAUCGCAGGCAGAUCUUCAUGACCCAGCAGGAACAACAGGACACAGUGGGAAUGAAUUAAUGAGCUACAUGACACUGUGAAAACACCACAACACCAUCACAGGAAGAGUGGUGGGUUCAACAGUUUAAAACACCUCUGGAGUCAAACUUCCCCACAAUGAAGAAACAGAUUCUUAUCAAUACCAAAGAGCUGCUAUUACUGUGUUGGACUCGAGGUCAUGUACAACUGGCUCUCUUCCACAAAAAUGCACCACUGAGGAACCAUGAAACACUGGAGCUAGUUUGACUUUUACAUAAGUCAUGACAAAAGAUGUUGAGCUGCUUUUAAUAACUAACAGUAUAAUUAAUCUAUACAUGAAAUAACCAGGGCUGCACAGUUGUUCAGUGGUUAGCACUGUCACCUCGCAGCUAGAAGAUCCCCAGUUUGCAUCCCGGCCUGGGAUCUGUCUGCAUGGAGUUUGCAUGUCCUCCCUGUGCAUGCAUGGGUUUUGUUUGUCUCUAUAUGUAGCCCUGUGAUAGACUGGUGACAUGUCCAGGGUGUCUCCUGUCUUCACCCUAAGUCAGCUGGGAUAGACUCCAGCCCCCCGCGACCCUAAGGAGGAUUAAAUGGUGUAUAGAUAAUGGAUGGAUGAAAUAACCAACAGUGCAUGUGUGGGGUUAAAGGUCAAAUGGUGGCCAAUCAGAGCUGCUUUCAUGUAAUUUAAAUUAAAGCUGCACAGUUGUAAUAUUUUUACAUUCACAAUAGAGAACAUUAACCAUGUACAGCC
Amphiprion ocellaris (clown anemonefish) is the source of this 1295-nucleotide long non-coding RNA. Lineage: Eukaryota; Metazoa; Chordata; Actinopteri; Pomacentridae. The record is from Ensembl.